GCACUCACUUUGGCAGCACAUGUACUAAAAUCGGAAUAGAGAAGAUUAGCAUGGUCCCUGACCAAGGGUGACAUGCAAAUUCGUGAAGCAUUCCAUAUUUAA
Molecule: small nuclear RNA, 102 nt
Filed under: Chinchilla lanigera (long-tailed chinchilla)
Lineage: Eukaryota; Metazoa; Chordata; Mammalia; Rodentia; Chinchillidae
Source: RNAcentral